This 33-nucleotide non-coding RNA is filed under the name Apocalathium aciculiferum. The record is from RNAcentral. Lineage: Eukaryota; Dinophyceae; Thoracosphaerales; Thoracosphaeraceae.
UUUUUUUUUUUUUUUUUUUUUUUUUGUUUCCCU